Molecule: transfer RNA, 77 nt
Filed under: Betaproteobacteria bacterium
Lineage: Bacteria; Pseudomonadati; Pseudomonadota; Betaproteobacteria
Description: tRNA-Arg
Rfam family: tRNA
About the family: Transfer RNA (tRNA) molecules are approximately 80 nucleotides in length.
Source: RNAcentral
CUGCCCGUAGCUCAACUGGAUAGAGCAUCGGCCUUCUAAGCCGAAGGUUGCAGGUUCGAUCCCUGCCGGGCAGGCCA